This is a small nuclear RNA of Mastomys coucha (southern multimammate mouse), 107 nucleotides long. The record is from RefSeq and is a predicted model, not a curated record. Lineage: Eukaryota; Metazoa; Chordata; Mammalia; Rodentia; Muridae.
GUGCUUGCUUCAGCAGUAUAUAUAAUAAAAUUGGAAUGUCAUAGAGAAGAUUAGCAUGGCUCUUGUGCAAGGAUAACACACAGAUUUGUAAAGAGUUCCUUAUUUUU